This is a long non-coding RNA of Molossus molossus (Pallas's mastiff bat), 877 nucleotides long. RefSeq lists it as uncharacterized. The record is from RefSeq and is a predicted model, not a curated record. Lineage: Eukaryota; Metazoa; Chordata; Mammalia; Chiroptera; Molossidae. The transcript has 4 exons.
AAUGUAAAUGACUGACUCAGUGCUUUGCGGAGCGGGGAAGGAAGUCACAGUCACACCGAGUGACUCAUUUUGUGCUGUUAGUUCAGGCAGUUGGAUGAAAAGUUUUAGCAAAAGCAGCAAGUCUACUUUAAAUACUAGCACAGUAAGGAAAUUCCUCUCUUUCGGGCUGAAUGCCAUCCACACAAAAGAGCUCCUGUUGACAUCUCAUUUACAAUCUCCCCCAGGACACAGACAAGACCGUUUCAAUAAACCCGGCUCAGAAACACCUAUUGUUCAAAAUCUUCAACUAGCAACAGGCUACCAGCACUCCCUAUUGUUUUGUAAAAUAAAAGAUUUAGAAGGAGAAGGAUUGGGACUGUGGAAGCCAUGAACAGAGGAAGGAAAAAAACCUCCCUUUGACCUAGUGCUGUCCGAGGGCGUGCAUGAAGAAUAAAGUUAAUGGAUUUCCAUUUUUAUAAGAAGUGCAUAAGAAACGUUCGUUAUGUUCCAGAAGUGGUGAUUGGGAAUUCUAAGUCUGAUGCCAGUACUGUGUGUUAAGAAGCUAACUCCUGCCAACAUGCUAGCCCUAAACGAAAAGCCAAAAGCUAUACUUACCCUAUUCUCAGCCUCACGGAAGCCCUGAUAGCAGCCAGAGCAAAGCCCCAGGAGGACCCCAGUGCUGUUGACUUUUCCACGCAGUCAUGACUUUUGGGGAAGGCAGCUUCCAUGUCACCCAGACAGCUGCCGCCACAUCAUGCUGCUUCAGAAGCGGAAGUGAGGUGAAGUUAGGACCUUUCCGGGCCACAUGAGGACACAGGGAGAAGGCAGCCAUCUGCAAAUGAAGACAAAGACAAAAGCUCUCACCAGACAGCUAACCUGCUGGCACUUUGACCUUGGG